GGCACCAUUAGAUAAAAAUAGAAAAGUAGAUAACAUGUAUAAUUGAGAAAUGUAUUUUAUGCUCAAACUGUUUUUUAUUUUCAUUAUACAGACCCACGUAUCUAUUUGCCACAUGAACAUAAAUAUUUCUGUUCCCUUUGCUCAUACAAGCUACAGAACCAUUUAGCACAAACUGCUAUGGUUCAACAUAACGAUGCCUCUGAAUGUUCUUGAAGCUGUUCUCCAGGAGGUGGCGCUAGCACAGGGAGACUCAGCUUACCUCACCUUGGCUUUGACCUGCAAGUGCUUUGAAGCCGUUGAGUCUGACCCAGUUUUCAGGAAGAAGACUCACUUUGCUUGGCUGGAUGGUGAGAUCAACUGGGGCAAAUUUUCAAAAACAUUCAAGGCAGAAAACCGGAUUCCUUUUGCGGUUGUAACGUGUUCCUCCUGCCACCGGUGAUAUAAAGACUGUGGGCUUCACCGGCAAUGGAAGACGAGGAGAGUACCCUGGUUACUACUGUGAUGGCCGACCUGGACACUGCACUGACUGUCA
Long non-coding RNA from Xiphophorus hellerii (green swordtail), 532 nucleotides. RefSeq lists it as uncharacterized. Lineage: Eukaryota; Metazoa; Chordata; Actinopteri; Cyprinodontiformes; Poeciliidae. The transcript has 3 exons. The record is from RefSeq and is a predicted model, not a curated record.